CUACCCCCACAUCAGGACGUUCAUAAAUUCGUCAGAGCCUCCAUAUUCAGCAUUGGAUGUCAAACGAGCGUGGCCACUUCUGUUUGUGAGGGAGCACCUCCUUGAUCACUUCCAUAGGCUUACAGGUGUCUGUCUGGACGGAAAAUUGAGCCUGCCCAAAGAUGUCCUCCUCCUUGUGACAUUCCUACGUUCAAGCCCCAAAAAUGAUGCUGCGCUCGAGUGGAGCCUCAAAAUCAACAAGGCCGAGGCAGAGUUCAAAGAUCAAAACGCAGCAGCUGUCUGCCUCCUCCCAUUGCUUGCAUCCUACUUUCAAGAAAACCUCGGAGAGCUCUUCCAGUUACAUCAGGUGACAACAGAAAUCACAGAGGAGUUUCGUAACAGUCUGCCUGCUUCUCCUGUAAUUGUUGCACUGGGCCGCUCACUUUUCUAAUGCAGCUGCCAGCUGUUUGUGGACCAUGAGGUGAUGGUGGAAGAUGUGGGCUUUCUGCAAGCUGUGGAGCUCCUUUUCGCCCUUUAUUAUUGUUUAAACAUCCAGUAUGCCAAAAGUGCGGGAAUCACACUUGAGUUCAUUCAGAGAUACCAAGUUGGUAUCAAACAACAUGAUGGGUCACGACAGGAGGCCGGGAGGUCGAAAGGAGCUCGGGCAAGAGCAAUCAAAGCCGCCACAGAUCUUGCUGCUUUUGAGAAAAAAUGGAACAGUCUCAUCUGAUGAUCGAUCGGAUGCCAUGAAGGUUUCUUUAUAAUUAUGUUCUUUUACGGUUUACAAUAUAGUUCUUCAAUUUCAAAACUGC
RNAcentral lists this unclassified non-coding RNA (791 nucleotides) under Ixodes scapularis (black-legged tick). RNAcentral describes it as "uncharacterized LOC121834526, transcript variant X2". The record is from RNAcentral. Lineage: Eukaryota; Metazoa; Arthropoda; Arachnida; Ixodida; Ixodidae.